CGCCAAUCUGUGUAACGCAAGUAAUUAUUUUGGAUUUCCAAUGGAUAUGUGAAUAUAUGUCGCAAUUAAUUCGUGCAAAUUUGGAUAUUUAGAAAUUCGGGAAUAACCACCAUGUAAAAAUUGUAAGAUGUCUAUUAUGAACUGCACAAAGAUCAGGAGAAAGAAGGUCCAGCAUGAGGAAGUCUUGAACUAAAACAACUAGUAUUCUCCGUACUGAGAUAUUAACAGGCACAGUAUCAUCUAAAAUGCUGUUAAUAUCUUUAUUUUUAAGCAUUAAUUUUUAGAGUUCAUUCCAGUAGAUAAAUGUAAAUCUUGAUGGAAUUUUUAGAUAUUUUGACUGAAAACUGCAUCAGCUGAAGGACUGACAUCUUCAAGAUGCAGGAAUGGAAGCUUAUUACAGAUAAGGAAAUAAAAAGGCCGAGAUGUUUGACAAAGAUUAUGACGACUUGCUUCACGUAACAAGAUACACAAGCCCGUGUUUUACUAAAACGGCAUUCUCCAAACCUGAAUCUUUAAAUGAGUUUCAUGAUACGAGAGAUGUCUUAAGAUAAUAUCAUCCUUAAAAAUCAUAAGGAACAAAGGCAACAAAGUCAUUUCGAGAAGAAGCUUUUCCCCCCGCCCCAUCUUCAGAUGUUUGGUUUCUUUCAUUAUGGCAAAGCACUCGAGAGCUAUCUACCUUCGUGGAGGACGAAAUUACCACCAUAAAGCAUUUACCAAGUAAAACAGACAUGAAUUCCAAAAGAGAAGGAACCUAGUUAAUGAAAUAUUUAAAAAUUAUAUGACGAAAAUUUUACAGAUUUCGGGAUCAAUUAAACAGGAACUGAAAUCAUCAUCUAAAGUUGAUUAACUAAAGGAAUGCUUCAGGAACCUAACGAUGGAGCUAUUUUAGAGAAAAGAGCAAAGCACGGGGAUAUUUCAAAAACAACUGUUUAUAUUCCUUCGAUGACCGUAGUAUGAAUCAUCCUAUUUAAGAAGAUUCUAUCGUAUUUCUACACUGUUGAGCAAGAAGGAUUACGCAAAGCUGAAAAACUGACGUCUACCCUCUCAAGUAGCUAAUGCUUUAGCGGUUUUUCUCUCAAAAAGGCUUCCGUGUUGCCAAGUCUUUUUCUUUUUGAAGGGAUGGUAGAAUAUGCAAGAUAGAAAACAGCUAUGAAGUCUUGGAACGUAUUACAUGCAAGAUUUUUCAUGGUUUCACAUGAAGAGCUAUACUUAAAAUAUAAGAAGUACAUCCUUCUCCUGUUUUCCUUCCUCUUCCGAAGGAAAUAAGGCUUACCUGGCGAAGAUGAAACACAUGAUUUCUCUUUAUUGAAGCACAAUACUGUCUUAGAAACCACUUGCCGCCAUCUUGGAAACGUAAUGGCCGUUCGUCACGUCACUUGCCUUGUACUAUGAGUCCACAGCACCUGAGCCCGACACCAAAUUUAAUUACGGAACAUCGAUUUCUCGUCCGGGAAUCUUCGACGUCCAAGUGACGUCAUUAGAUGUCUUCCCUGCUGCCAUCGAUUUGGUGUUCCUUCUGGAAAUUUCUUUUCAUUCUGUGUAUGCCAGCUGUAACAUUGAACAAACUAGUUGUAGUAUUAUUGUAGAGAAUUUUAUUCUUAUAUAAUUAAAGAUUUACAUGCCAUAGAAUUCAGAAGUUCAUAACUAAGCUUUUAGUAAAAUAUUAUUUAUAGCGAAAAUCCUGUAAUUUUUGUUAUUUUUCUCGUAAUGUGUUCAGCAAGUCUAGCUAUCGGGAUCAUUUCCGUUGUAGAUUAAACAAUUAGGCAGCGAAUUUUUUCUAAACGUUAGAAAUACGUCUUUUAGCUAUUAUAAACAAUGAACUAAAAUAGAAGGAAACACUUUAAAAACAUUUUGUUGACAGUGCCUACUUUGAAAAUAAAAACAUUAUAAUAAGUUAUAAAAGUAACACAUUUAAUUUAAUGGUGGCCAGUCGGCAACAACGUCAGCUACAGUAUGUUCAUAUGGAUUUUCUUUUCAUUAUUCCAAAAUCUCUAUAAAUGUUCACAUAAAUAAGAACUAAAGAAACUACGAAUAACCUUUUUUUUUUCUCUGAAGCUAUCAAGUAUUGCUACAAAAAAAAAAAAAAAAAAAAAAAGUUUGGUAUGUGUUGCCCUAUAACGGAAAAGAUCCCAGUACUAUUUUGCAGCAUAAUAUUUCACUUUGUCACAGUAUUUCAUUCAACGCAAAACAGUUUUCAGUGUAAUAUUUCACUUUGUCACAGUAUUUCAAAUCAACGCAAAACAGUUUUCAGUGUAAUAUUUCACUUUGUCACAGUAUUUCAUAUCAACGCAAAACAGUUUUCAGUGUUAAUGAUUAGAAAAUAAAUUUAUGAACCUAAGAAACUGUUUUGUGAAUUUAGUUAUAAAACUGAAUUUCGGAAGCGUAACAUCUUAAAAAAAAGUAUUUUCAGGUUAAACACAUUUACAACUUUUCAUGCAAUACUUAUAAAGUAAUGCAUAAUUAAUAGUGCAAACGAACAAAAGCUGAGAAAAGCAAUAUGAAACUGAGAAAACCUAUAACAUCCUUCAGUGGUCUUCAAACUGCUGUCCACGGAACCCUGACUUUCCGUAAUAAUGUAAUAUAAUGUAAUACAUGAGUGUGCUGCGACCCUCCUGGCCGAUCAUAAUCGGCCUCACGGUUAAAGUAGCACACCCAACUCAAAAACAAAGAUACAGUUAAAAGAUUAAAACAGACAUACAGUGAAAAAACAUCAAACCAAAAUUUCCAGUAUUGUUCUAUAAAGUUCAUCAAAUCCUGUGCAGAUCUAACCUCUUUAUUGCGGCAGAAGAAUUCCUUUAUGUUACCCUGUUUUUCUCUAACAUAUCGCAAUAACACGCAGUCUUCGACGAAAAGUCAUGCAUUGCCUUCAGCACUACAAAAACUGUAAAGACUAUUAUUUUGUAAAUUAAAUAUUUUCAAGGUACGCCGGGAAGCGACCGUGUCUAGUAAUUAUUUGAUUGCAAUCAAAAUCAUAUAUCAUUCUCAUAAAUUAAAUAAAUUGUAAAGUUCAAAGUUCAACAAAUAAUCUUUCCGUCAUCCCGAAAUGUUUCGUUUCUCUUUCCAAACAAAUAGAAUAGAAAUUCUUGAUUUACCAAUAACAAUUCUUUUCUAUGCUUUAAUAUCGAACGCAUCCCCAGCAUAACCCAUAGCAAUCUCUUUGGCCAGCUUGUCGGUCCUCUCAUUGCCUGCAACACCAAUAUGGGCUUUCACCCAGUUCAUUUUCAUUUAAUGUAUUUUCUCAACUUUUACAGGAGAUAAAAGUUUUACAACUUUUAAAUAUGGGACCAAAAUAUUGGUGUUAUCAGCAUUUGCUAGUGCUUCCAAACCAGAUAAUGAGUCUGUAUAUUAAUAUAUGUGCUCACAAUCAAGUGUUCAUCAAUCCAUUUAACAGCAAAUUUAAUAGCAGGCAAUUCGGCUUGAAAAACCGAACUGUAUGGUUUAAGUCUAAUUUUGUCAUAGUAAAAGGUCAUAUUGGAAAGUAUAGUUAAAUUGGGAAUAUUAAUAUAAUGAAUUAUUAUUAAUAUUGAUAUUUUAAUUAAUUAGUUAUAAUAAUUGGGUAUAAUCCUAGGGUGCCAUGAGUCAAAAUAAAAAUUCAGAAAGAAAAUUAUAAAUCACUCACAAUAGUUCACUACUGUUUAUUAACUAAAAAGAUAUAGAUUUUAACUUAGUUAGUUAUAGAUUAGUUUGAAGACUUAAUAUGUGGUCAAAGAGAUGCAGUGCUUUACAAAACUAAACAGUGUUGAACUGUGAAACUAAACAGACUAAUGGAAAAUGAUUUGAAUUUAAAAGACGGUGUAGAAAUUAUACAACGGAGCCCCCUUUUUCAAUUGAAGAAAACUAUAAGAGAAUAUUUCCCAGAAGGAAAAAUGUAAACAUGAUUUUGAAAAAAAAAAAAAAAAAUCCAGUCCAGUA
Molecule: long non-coding RNA, 3912 nt
Organism: Stegodyphus dumicola
Lineage: Eukaryota; Metazoa; Arthropoda; Arachnida; Araneae; Eresidae
Source: RefSeq, a predicted model, not a curated record